This 513-nucleotide ribosomal RNA is filed under the name uncultured bacterium. Its description in RNAcentral is "partial 16S ribosomal RNA". It matches the Rfam family "Bacterial small subunit ribosomal RNA", at positions 28 to 523 of the family's 1533-position model. The record is from RNAcentral.
GACGAACGCUGGCGGCAUGCCUAAUACAUGCAAGUCGAGCGAACAGAUGAAGUGCCUGCACUUCUGACGUUAGCGGCGAACGGGUGAGUAACACGUAAGGAAUCUACCUAUAAGCGGGGGAUAACAUUCGGAAACGGGUGCUAAUACCGCAUAAUAUCUUCUUCCGCAUGGAAGAAGAUUGAAAGACGGCUCUGCUGUCACUUAUAGAUGACCUUGCGGUGCAUUAGUUAGUUGGUGGGGUAACGGCCUACCAAGACGAUGAUGCAUAGCCGACCUGAGAGGAUGAUCGGACACAUUGGGACUGGGACGCGGCCCAAACUCCUACGGGAGGCAGCAGUAGGGAAUCUUCCGCAAUGGGCGAAAGCCUGACGGAGCAAUGCCGCGUGAGUGAAGAAGGCCUUCGGGUCGUAAAACUCUGUUAUAAGAGAAGAACAAAUUGUAGAGUAACUGCUACAGUCUUGACGGUAUCUUAUCAGAAAGCCACGGCUAACUACGUGCCAGCCGCCGCGGUAA